Molecule: long non-coding RNA, 858 nt
Organism: Triticum dicoccoides
Lineage: Eukaryota; Viridiplantae; Streptophyta; Magnoliopsida; Poales; Poaceae
Exons: 3
Source: RefSeq, a predicted model, not a curated record
AAAAGAGUCUUUUUAUUUUGUCACUCACAACUUCACACGUAGCUCUUGCCUGAUGCCCCGGUUCCCUUUCUCCUUUCCUUGGUCUCUCCGUUCACUCCAAAAUUAUUGACACUAAAUCAGGCCCGGCUUGUACCACUGGCAUCCCCGCAGCUCGACUCGCAGGUGCGGCAACAUGGUGACCGUCUUUGACGGCUGGUUUGGCUCGUACGCCUCCUCUGUGUCCUUGGUUUGUUAGCGGCGAUGGAUCAUGGAUGUAUAGCAGGGCCCGAGUAGCAGCUCCAAUGGAGGAGGCGAGAUCGUUGAUCUGCACGGUGUCGUCGCUGUCAGCAUCCGUGUAGGGGAUCCUUGGUCGUGGAUCUCGACUCGCACAGCCAGCGUGGAUUCAGCUUUUGUAUGAGGAUAUUUGGUCCACUGUCUUCCUCAACCGUGCAAGCCAGACUUCGUCGUUGUUCCCACUCGAGGAAUCCCGACAUCUCGUCGUCUUCCUCCACAGCGGCAACAUGCUUCGACCUACAGUAACAUGGUCUUAACUCUAAAAGCUGCUGACCUGAAGACAUCAUUUAACCAAGCUGUGUUGAUCUAUCCGUUUGGUGCCACCACUACACUGGGAAAGAUCACCUGGCCAUCGGCAGCAUUACUUUUCAUUUUAAAUUGUAUUGCUUAAGUUGCUUCCCUUGCCCACUUUAUAUAAAAUUGGAACAAAAUGCAAUCACAUUCUGUUUUCGGCUGGUGAGCGCACACUUGUACAUGUAAAUUAAUACAUUAAGAAUUCAUCUAUCCAAUUCCUGGUAUAUACAUCCUGUAACAAAGCUGAAUUAGUAAUCAACUGAUACAAAGGCAGCAAGAAUAACUUGGGGC